AUCACUAUGGUAACUUGCAAGCAACUCACUGUACUUUGAUGUCAGACUAUCUAAAUUUAUAAUUCAGUGAUAGAAUAUUUUUGGGUACAGUCAAGUACUUGUCAAGUCAGUACGUGAGUCAAGAUGAAAUUGACCCCUCUGAAUUAGUAGGAGUUAAUGUAUCAAUGUAUUUCAAUUUAGCUAAACCAAGGCUCGGAUAAUCUAUAUGAUGGAUUUGAAAGAUUGAAAUAUAAUAUGGAUGAC
Molecule: long non-coding RNA, 243 nt
Filed under: Elaeis guineensis (African oil palm)
Lineage: Eukaryota; Viridiplantae; Streptophyta; Magnoliopsida; Arecales; Arecaceae
Description: long non-coding RNA (EGUI_LNC064106)
Source: RNAcentral